This 771-nucleotide ribosomal RNA is filed under the name uncultured Sappinia. RNAcentral's name for it is "partial 18S ribosomal RNA". It matches the Rfam family "Eukaryotic small subunit ribosomal RNA", at positions 4 to 584 of the family's 1831-position model. The record is from RNAcentral. Lineage: Eukaryota; Discosea; Longamoebia; Thecamoebida.
CUGGUUGAUCCUGCCAGUAGUCAUAUGCUUGUCUCAAAGAUUAAGCCAUGCAUGUUUAAGUAUAAACCGCUUGUGCCGCAAGGUGCAAAACGGGUGAAACUGCGAAUGGCUCAUUAAAUCAGCAAUCGUUUAUUUGAUUGUGCGCUAUUGUGGUGUUUGGUUUGGGGGUUCGCCUCUGGAUCAAAGUCCACAAAUGGCUACAUGGAUAACCGUGGUAAUUCAAGAGCUAAUACAUGAAGGAAAAACAAGGCUGACUUUUCGCAAGAGAGGAACGCCCGCAUUUAUUAUAUACAUACAAAAACCGGAACUCAUGGGGCAACCUGUGGGCCAAAGAGUUGGCGAUUCAUAAUGACUGCGCGAAUCGAAUGGUCCUCUUUCUCUGGUGGGAAGGAAUGGCGAGCGAUCAUUCAUUGUGCUAACCCGCCCCAUUUGUUUUUCGAUGGAUGGGAGGCCGGCCCAGGAUUAGCGACGGGUCAUGCUAAGCGGCUAAUUUGGGGUUCCCUGACCGGAGAAGGCAACCCCGCAAAAAACCGCCCCCCCUUUCCGGGGAAGGCACUGGGCGGGUAGGUGGCCCAAUCGGGCCUUCGGGAGGCUCUCCCAUUUAGCAACCUGGGGGCAAAUCUGGAUAAACAGGGAACGGGAUUGGAUAAACCCUAGGAAAAACCCAUGUGCCUCCGGCCAGUGGAGGGCAAUCUCGGAAAGGCUCCCGGGGCACGAAGCAAUUUGGACUGGGGGGAAUUUUUACUCCCGGGAAAGUAACCCCCGGCAGGA